RNAcentral lists this transfer RNA (72 nucleotides) under Bos taurus (domestic cattle). It matches the Rfam family "tRNA". Rfam says of the family: Transfer RNA (tRNA) molecules are approximately 80 nucleotides in length. Their secondary structure includes four short double-helical elements and three loops (D, anti-codon, and T loops). The record is from Rfam by way of RNAcentral. Lineage: Eukaryota; Metazoa; Chordata; Mammalia; Artiodactyla; Bovidae. RNAcentral also lists the same sequence under 5 other names.
CCCCUGGCGGUCUAGUGGUUAGGACUCAGUGCUUUCACCGCAAGGGCCCAGGUUCAAUCCCUGGUCAGGGAA